RNAcentral lists this ribosomal RNA (454 nucleotides) under uncultured Rikenellaceae bacterium. RNAcentral's name for it is "partial 16S ribosomal RNA". It matches the Rfam family "Bacterial small subunit ribosomal RNA", at positions 341 to 792 of the family's 1533-position model. Lineage: Bacteria; Pseudomonadati; Bacteroidota; Bacteroidia; Bacteroidales; Rikenellaceae. The record is from RNAcentral.
ACGGAAGGCAGCAGUGAGGAAUAUUGGUCAAUGGGCGGAAGCCCGAACCAGCCAUGCCGCGUGAAGGAUUGAGGCCCUAUGGGUCGUAAACUUCUUUUGUGGUGGAGCAAUAAGGUGCACGUGUGCAUCGAUGAGAGUACAUCACGAAUAAGCAUCGGCUAACUCCGUGCCAGCAGCCGCGGUAAUACGGAGGAUGCGAGCGUUAUCCGGAUUUAUUGGGUUUAGAGGGUGCGUAGGCUGUUCUUCAAGUCAGAGGUGAAAUACCGGGGCUCAACCCUGGAACUGCCUUUGAUACUGGAGGGCUUGAAUACUGUUGCCGUGGGAGGAAUGAGUAGUGUAGCGGUGAAAUGCAUAGAUAUUACUCAGAACACCGAUUGCGAAGGCAUCUCACGAAGCAGCGAUUGACGCUGAGGCACGAAAGCGUGGGGAUCAAACAGGAUUAGAUACCCUGGUA